RNAcentral lists this small RNA (548 nucleotides) under Pongo abelii (Sumatran orangutan). RNAcentral's name for it is "retained intron". The record is from RNAcentral. Lineage: Eukaryota; Metazoa; Chordata; Mammalia; Primates; Hominidae.
GUGUGUGAGCUGCUUGCUGGUGCGGUGGUCAGCGCGAUGCCCAAGGCCAAGGGCAAAACCCGGAGGCAGAAGUUUGGUUACAGUGUCAACCGAAAGCGUCUGAACAGGAAUGCUCGACGGAAAGCAGCGCCGCGGAUCGAAUGGUGAGGAGGCUGGGGUUCCGGGUGGCGGUGGGCCUCGGCCGGGACGGUCCGCGAGGUGACGGAUCCGCGAUGUCUCUCUUUGCCGGUAGCUCCCACAUCCGACAUGCCUGGGACCACGCUAAAUCGGUGCGGCAGAACCUGGCCGAGAUGGGGUUGGCUGUGGACCCCAACAGGGCGGUGCCCCUCCGUAAGAGAAAGGGCUCUGUUCUCUGCAGGUGAAGGCCAUGGAGGUGGACACAGAGGAGAGGCCUAAAGAGCUUGUACUGAAGCCCUAUGUGCUGAAUGACCUGGAGGCAGAAGCCAGCCUUCCAGAAAAGAAAGGAAAUACUCUGUCUCGGGACCUCAUUGACUAUGUACGCUACAUGGUGGAGAACCACGGGGAGGACUAUAAGGCCAUGGCCCGGG